This 467-nucleotide ribosomal RNA is filed under the name uncultured bacterium. RNAcentral's name for it is "partial 16S ribosomal RNA". It matches the Rfam family "Bacterial small subunit ribosomal RNA", at positions 28 to 507 of the family's 1533-position model. The record is from RNAcentral.
GAUGAACGCUGGCGGCGUGCUUAACACAUGCAAGUCGAACGGAAAGGCCCAAGCUUGCUUGGGUACUCGAGUGGCGAACGGGUGAGUAACACGUGGGUGAUCUGCCCUGCACUUCGGGAUAAGCCUGGGAAACUGGGUCUAAUACCGGAUAGGACCACAUUUUGGAUGGUGUGGUGGAAAGUUUUUCGGUGUGGGAUGAGCUCGCGGCCUAUCAGCUUGUUGGUGGGGUAAUGGCCUACCAAGGCGUCGACGGGUAGCCGGCCUGAGAGGGUGUACGGCCACAUUGGGACUGAGAGACGGCCCAGACUCCUACGGGAGGCAGCAGUGGGGAAUAUUGGACAAUGGGCGCAAGCCUGAUGCAGCGACGCCGCGUGGGGGAUGACGGCCUUCGGGUUGUAAAAUCCUUUCGCUAGGGACGAAGCGUUUUUGUGACGGUACCUGGAGAAGAAGCACCGGCUAACUACGUG